Molecule: ribosomal RNA, 464 nt
Filed under: uncultured bacterium
Lineage: Bacteria
Description: bacterial SSU rRNA
Rfam family: Bacterial small subunit ribosomal RNA
Source: RNAcentral
GAGGGAGAGAGCCCGCAAGGGUGAGUACACCGGCGAACGGGUGCGUAACACGUGGAUAAUCUACCUUCCUGACCGGAAUAACUGGCCGAAAGGCUUGAUAAUACCGGAUAAGACCACGGUGACUUCGGUCGCUGAGGGAAAAGGUGGCCUCUGUAAACAAGCUAUCACAGGGAGAUGAGUCCGCGGCCCAUCAGCUAGUUGGCGGGGUAAAAGCCCACCAAGGCAACGACGGGUAGCUGGUCUGAGAGGAUGAUCAGCCACACUGGAACUGAGACACGGUCCAGACUCCUACGGGAGGCAGCAGUGGGGAAUCUUGCGCAAUGGGCGAAAGCCUGACGCAGCAACGCCGCGUGUGUGAUGAAGGUCUUCGGAUCGUAAAGCACUGUCGCGAGGGAAGAUAUGCCUACGAAUAAUAAGCGUGGGUUAAGACGGUACCUCGAGAGGAAGCACCGGCUAACUCUGUG